AGUAAAUGGUGGAUUCGAUAGGAUUCACUAUAAACAAGAUAAGAACCUUUUAUUGAAUUAAAGUUAAAAUUAGAAGGGACGUCCCAGGCUCUCCUGAAACCGGGUGACGAAAUCCUGAUAAAGGUCAUCAAAAGAAAGUCCUGGGCGACACCCAAGUGGGAAGGACCGUUCCGAGUACUCAUUACCACCCCAACUGCGGUAAAAUCGCAGAACGAAGCACCUGGAUACAUCAGUCUCAGUGCAAGAAGUUGACACCAGACGCUGCCCUUGAGUAAGUGGGAAGACGGACGGUAUCAAAACCCUUGUCCGCCGAAGAAACCAACAGACACUCACUCACCAGCCACA
This is a long non-coding RNA of Esox lucius (northern pike), 345 nucleotides long. RefSeq lists it as uncharacterized. The record is from RefSeq and is a predicted model, not a curated record. Lineage: Eukaryota; Metazoa; Chordata; Actinopteri; Esociformes; Esocidae. The transcript is spliced from 2 exons.